UAUUACUUGAAACAGAAAUUAAACGAACAUUGUUAACUAUUACGAUUAAUAACAACUAAGUAUAUAAAUAAUUGAACUAAUCUUUUGGUUUCUUCAUGAAAUUAACACAAAGACUCAGCUAUUCGACCGGCCAGGUCUACAAACUGAAAAAUUCAGACUUAACAACUCGAUACAAAAUGGUCGACCGACUAGGUCGAAGGAAUAAAAAUCAGAACUAACGAACAAAUAAAUAAAAAGGUCGAACGGCUAGGUCGAAGGACUGAAUGCUCAAACUCAAACAAAUCCAUGCAAAAUAAUCGAUCGGCUAGGUCGAAUAACAGAAAAUCAGAAUCAAUAGGUCGAAGGACUGAAUGCUCAAACAUAAAAAAAAUCCAUACAAAAUAAUCGAUCGGCUAGGUCGAAGAACAAAAAAUCAGAAUCAACAGGUGAUAACAAACUACUCGACCGGCUAGGUCGAAGAACUGAAAUUCACGUUUAUAAAGUCGAAAUGUAAUUAAAAUAAUAACCAUUGCACAUAAAUAACAAAAUAUUAACAGAAACUAAACCUUG
Molecule: long non-coding RNA, 549 nt
Filed under: Nicotiana benthamiana
Lineage: Eukaryota; Viridiplantae; Streptophyta; Magnoliopsida; Solanales; Solanaceae
Description: long non-coding RNA (NBEN_LNC004772)
Source: RNAcentral